Molecule: long non-coding RNA, 623 nt
Filed under: Gossypium barbadense (sea-island cotton)
Lineage: Eukaryota; Viridiplantae; Streptophyta; Magnoliopsida; Malvales; Malvaceae
Description: long non-coding RNA (GBAR_LNC013203)
Source: RNAcentral
AAACCCAAUACAGUGGCCCAAAAAUCAAACCUAAAACCCAAUGUCACAGCCCAAUACAAGCCCAAAGCUUAACCAACUAAGCAGAAACCCUAGACCUUUGCUUCAGCGCAGCCACAACAGCCCUGCGCACCGCCCCCUCCGCAACAGUAGCCGCCAUUUGCGCAAGUUGCGCCUCCACGUGCGCCACUCCUCUACGCACGCCAUGCCUUGCGCAUCGCACCUGAAACAACAAACAAAAACAAACCGCAACAAAAUAAUAGGGAUAGCAGAAUAGAUUUCAUUUUUUUUUAUUUCCAUUUUCGGCUAUAAAAGGAAUAUUUUCAUUGUAAAGUGGGGGAGAAUUGGAAAAACAGCAACAGAAAUAGAAAGAAAUACUGAGUUUGCAAAGAAUAUUUCUUUUUUCUUAAAGGUGAAUCGUUUUUUUAUUUUUUAUUUUUUACUUUUUUUUCAUCUAUUCUUUUGAUUUUUUUUUUUGUUUUGUAAAAUAAUAAUACAAAGAGAACGAAGGAAACUUACCCGAGAGCGUCGCGCCAUCGCCAUCUCCAUCGCGUUCGGAGCUUUGGCGAGGAGGCCGACGAACGGCGGUGCAAUGAUGCUAGGGACGAAACCCUAGCAGAGCAAAG